UGGGGAAUAUUGGACAAUGGGCGAAAGCCUGAUCCAGCAAUGCCGCGUGAGUGAUGAAGGCCUUAGGGUUGUAAAGCUCUUUUACCAGGGAUGAUAAUGACAGUACCUGGAGAAUAAGCUCCGGCUAACUCCGUGCCAGCAGCCGCGGUAAUACGGAGGGAGCUAGCGUUGUUCGGAAUUACUGGGCGUAAAGCGUACGUAGGCGGUGACUCAAGUCAGAGGUGAAAGCCUGGAGCUCAACUCCAGAACUGCCUUUGAAACUAGGUCGCUAGAAUCACGGAGAGGUGAGUGGAAUUCCGAGUGUAGAGGUGAAAUUCGUAGAUAUUCGGAAGAACACCAGUGGCGAAGGCGGCUCACUGGAAGUGUAUUGACGCUGAGGUACGAAAGCGUGGGGAGCAAACAGGAUUAGAUACCCACGUAGUCCCUGAGCGGGCUGGCAAGGCG
This 444-nucleotide ribosomal RNA is filed under the name uncultured bacterium. Its description in RNAcentral is "bacterial SSU rRNA". It matches the Rfam family "Bacterial small subunit ribosomal RNA", at positions 355 to 822 of the family's 1533-position model. The record is from RNAcentral.